Non-coding RNA from Mycena albidolilacea, 100 nucleotides. The record is from the annotation of a GenBank genome assembly. Lineage: Eukaryota; Fungi; Basidiomycota; Agaricomycetes; Agaricales; Mycenaceae.
GGUUCGGUGGUGGGAGGUUUCCACAUCUGCAUUUCUUUCGGGAUCAUAGUCUAAGUUAUGUAGAAAGCAGAAGAUGCCUGUUCGAAUCGGGCCCGGGCCA